Molecule: long non-coding RNA, 333 nt
Organism: Labeo rohita (rohu)
Lineage: Eukaryota; Metazoa; Chordata; Actinopteri; Cypriniformes; Cyprinidae
Exons: 3
Source: RefSeq, a predicted model, not a curated record
UGGGCAUUGAACAUGUCAGUUUCACUGCUGUCCAUGCAGUGUCAGAAAGCUCUCAGAUUUCAUCAAAAAUAUCUUAAUUUAUGUUCUGAAUAUGAACGAAGGUCUUACGGGUUUGGAACAACAUGAGGAUUGACAUGGGAAUCUGGCCAUCAGGCUGAAAGCUGUGGUCCGAACUGCACAGCUCCUCACAGCCUUUACUCAUAUGGCCCACAACAAAUAUCUGCUGUAUGGAAAGAAAAAAAAAUCAAAAAAAAGGGGGUUUUCAAAGAGGACUUCAGUGGGGAUCAAGGCGGAUGAAGGUCAAAAUUGUACACUGUAAAACCUAACAGUGAA